RNAcentral lists this transfer RNA (85 nucleotides) under Nitrospirota bacterium. RNAcentral's name for it is "Nitrospirae bacterium tRNA-Tyr". It matches the Rfam family "tRNA". Rfam says of the family: Transfer RNA (tRNA) molecules are approximately 80 nucleotides in length. The record is from RNAcentral. RNAcentral also lists the same sequence under 1 other name. Lineage: Bacteria; Pseudomonadati; Nitrospirota.
GGAGGGGUACCCGAGUGGCCAAAGGGGACGGGCUGUAAACCCGUUGGCAUAGCCUACGGAGGUUCAAAUCCUCCCCCCUCCACCA